Molecule: ribosomal RNA, 252 nt
Filed under: uncultured bacterium
Lineage: Bacteria
Description: partial 16S ribosomal RNA
Rfam family: Bacterial small subunit ribosomal RNA
Source: RNAcentral
UACGUAGGGAGCAAGCGUUGUCCGGAAUCAUUGGGCGUAAAGCGCGCGUAGGUGGCUUCGUAAGUCCGUUGUGAAAGUCAAAGGCUCAACCUUUGAAAGCCGAUGGAUACUGCGGAGCUAGAGUACGGAAGAGGCGAGUGGAAUUCCUGGUGUAGCGGUGGAAUGCGCAGAUAUCAGGAGGAACACCAAUAGCGAAGGCAGCUCGCUGGGACGUUACUGACACUGAGGCGCGAAGCGUGGGGAGCGAACAGG